RNAcentral lists this small nuclear RNA (166 nucleotides) under Naja naja (Indian cobra). RNAcentral's name for it is "U2 spliceosomal RNA (ENSNNAG00000001859.1)". It matches the Rfam family "U2 spliceosomal RNA". From Rfam's summary of the family: U2 is a small nuclear RNA (snRNA) component of the spliceosome (involved in pre-mRNA splicing). Complementary binding between U2 snRNA (in an area lying towards the 5' end but 3' to hairpin I) and the branchpoint sequence (BPS) of the intron results the bulging out of an unpaired adenosine, on the BPS, which initiates a nucleophilic attack at the intronic 5' splice site, thus starting the first of two transesterification reactions that mediate splicing. The record is from Rfam by way of RNAcentral. Lineage: Eukaryota; Metazoa; Chordata; Lepidosauria; Squamata; Elapidae.
AUCGCUUCUCGGCCUUUUGGCUAAGAUCAAGUGUAGGAAAAGCUUUCACUCAAGAUACUUAUGUGGCAUAUUGUUCUUAGUAGAAACCUCCUCUUAAUCUGUACUAUAUACUUUGAUGAAAUUGCAUGACUGACUUGGCACAUUUGCCACCUAAUGUAAAUAGUGU